UACAUCCCGUCCUAUGUUACGUUUCCAC
Molecule: non-coding RNA, 28 nt
Filed under: Rattus norvegicus (Norway rat)
Lineage: Eukaryota; Metazoa; Chordata; Mammalia; Rodentia; Muridae
Source: RNAcentral